GUUUAUAUAGUUUAAAAAACAUUACAUUUUCAUUGUGAAGAUAAUAUAAGAUAAAAUAUUUAUAAAUA
RNAcentral lists this transfer RNA (68 nucleotides) under Natula pravdini. Its description in RNAcentral is "tRNA-Glu". The record is from RNAcentral. Lineage: Eukaryota; Metazoa; Arthropoda; Insecta; Orthoptera; Trigonidiidae.